RNAcentral lists this ribosomal RNA (285 nucleotides) under Enterobacter sp. October_KB1F6. RNAcentral's name for it is "partial 16S ribosomal RNA". It matches the Rfam family "Bacterial small subunit ribosomal RNA", at positions 1086 to 1372 of the family's 1533-position model. Lineage: Bacteria; Pseudomonadati; Pseudomonadota; Gammaproteobacteria; Enterobacterales; Enterobacteriaceae. The record is from RNAcentral.
CCCGCAACGAGCGCAACCCUUAUCCUUUGUUGCCGCGGUCCGGCCGGGAACUCAAAGGAGACUGCCAGUGAUAAACUGGAGGAAGGUGGGGAUGACGUCAAGUCAUCAUGGCCCUUACGAGUAGGGCUACACACGUGCUACAAUGGCGCAUACAAAGAGAAGCGACCUCGCGAGAGCAAGCGGACCUCAUAAAGUGCGUCGUAGUCCGGAUUGGAGUCUGCAACUCGACUCCAUGAAGUCGGAAUCGCUAGUAAUCGUAGAUUAUAAUGCUACGGUGAAUACGUU